RNAcentral lists this transfer RNA (77 nucleotides) under Pelotomaculum thermopropionicum SI. RNAcentral's name for it is "tRNA-Arg (ACG) (tRNA-Arg-ACG-1-1)". It matches the Rfam family "tRNA". From Rfam's summary of the family: Transfer RNA (tRNA) molecules are approximately 80 nucleotides in length. Their secondary structure includes four short double-helical elements and three loops (D, anti-codon, and T loops). RNAcentral also lists the same sequence under 1 other name. Lineage: Bacteria; Bacillati; Bacillota; Clostridia; Eubacteriales; Desulfotomaculaceae. The record is from RNAcentral.
GCGCCUGUAGCUCAGCUGGAUAGAGCGUCUGACUACGGAUCAGAAGGCCAGGGGUUCGAAUCCCUUCAGGCGCACCA